GACAUCGAGGAUAAAGUGCAGGCAAGGCUAAGUA
Molecule: small RNA, 34 nt
Filed under: Anaerobutyricum hallii
Lineage: Bacteria; Bacillati; Bacillota; Clostridia; Lachnospirales; Lachnospiraceae
Description: CRISPR_Spacer
Source: RNAcentral